This 1003-nucleotide long non-coding RNA is filed under the name Phoenix dactylifera (date palm). RNAcentral's name for it is "long non-coding RNA (PDAC_LNC016465)". Lineage: Eukaryota; Viridiplantae; Streptophyta; Magnoliopsida; Arecales; Arecaceae. The record is from RNAcentral.
CAGAUCCUUUCCUAGAUUGGGGAGAGAGAUUGUCCCAUCCAGUAUUAGGGGAGAAAGAGACAAUCUCUAAGGGGCAGAGGGUUGAUUUAACCUUGGAUUGGAAUGUUGGCAUGAGUUGUUGUAAAUGCACAAUAGAUAUUUUUGGCAUUAUGCGGGGUUAGCAACACGAGAGUGGAAAGAGAUGGAGAGAGUGGGUGGGAGGGGGAGAAAAUGGGGCUCUUGUUGGAUUGAGACUGUGGGUUUACAAAUCUUUUUUGUCCAAAACAUACCUUAUAUUUAUGAGUAUUGCUACUGUUCAUCCAUACAUUUAUCGCUCAAUUUGUUUGUCCAAUAUGGUAAUCAGGAAUUGGUGCGAUACAUGGGGGUAGGUGGUGUUAGUUAGGGUCCCAUGUAUUGCUUAGCUAAUACCUGACUGCCACACCGGACAGGUGAAUUGAGCAGCGAUAUGAGAGGUGAUCCCCAGCAUUUUUUUAUAUUUAUUAUAUGAUAAAGUUCUCCAAGUGAACUUACUAAAUUUUCUACCCAAAGCAAAUUUGAUUGACCUAAUAAUUCCAAUUUUCUCUUCUAGAUAUAGCAUAAAUUGGUGACAUUUAUGCAUGCAUUUUUUUUAUAUUUACAUAUACUUUAUGGCUCUUCAUUUAUUGCACUUUUUUGAGGAUUUCUAAAAGCUCUCUCUCUCUCUCUCUACAUAUAUAUAUGUAUAUGUAUAUAUCUAUAUAUAUAUGUGUGUGUGUGUGUGUAUUUAUAUAUAUGUAUAUAUAAACAUAUAUAUGUAUGUAUGUAUAUAUGUACAUGUAUACAUAUCUAUAUAUACAUAUAUAUGUGUGCAUGUAUCUAUAUGUAUGUAUGUAUGUAUGUGUGUGUGUGUGUAUAUGUGUAUAUAUGUUGUAAGGUUUUGAACUGAUAGUGAUAUUACUUUUGUUGACAGUAUUAAAGCUUGAUAAAAGUAUAAUGACAUGACAAGUAGUUUAAUGAUACACAAUAUGUCCAUGCAUACCAUGUU